This 103-nucleotide transfer RNA is filed under the name Schizophyllum commune Tattone D. RNAcentral describes it as "tRNA-Asp". Lineage: Eukaryota; Fungi; Basidiomycota; Agaricomycetes; Agaricales; Schizophyllaceae. RNAcentral also lists the same sequence under 1 other name. The record is from RNAcentral.
UCCUCGGUAGUAUAUCGGCUAGUACACCCGCCUGUCAUAGUACUCAUAAUCUGGGUUUGUGCACUUUACGCGGGAGAGCGGGGUUCGACUCCCCGCCGAGGAG